GAUGAACGCUGGCGGCGUGCCUAAUACAUGCAAGUCGAGCGAACGGACGAGAAGCUUGCUUCUCUGAUGUUAGCGGCGGACGGGUGAGUAACACGUGGAUAACCUACCUAUAAGACUGGGAUAACUUCGGGAAACCGGAGCAAAUACCGGAUAAUAUUUUGAACCGCAUGGUUCAAAAGUGAAAGACGGUCUUGCUGUCACUUAUAGAUGGAUCCGCGCUGCAUUAGCUAGUUGGUAAGGUAACGGCUUACCAAGGCAACGAUGCAUAGCCGACCUGAGAGGGUGAUCGGCCACACUGGAACUGAGACACGGUCCAGACUCCUACGGGAGGCAGCAGUAGGGAAUCUUCCGCAAUGGGCGAAAGCCUGACGGAGCAACGCCGCGUGAGUGAUGAAGGUCUUCGGAUCGUAAAACUCUGUUAUUAGGGAAGAACAUAUGUGUAAGUAACUGUGCACAUCUUGACGGUACCUAAUCAGAAAGCCACGGCUAACUACGUG
Molecule: ribosomal RNA, 497 nt
Filed under: uncultured bacterium
Lineage: Bacteria
Description: partial 16S ribosomal RNA
Rfam family: Bacterial small subunit ribosomal RNA
Source: RNAcentral